UCGUUUUCUUCAUCUUUUCCAGUGAACAAAGCCAACACCGAGCACUCCUUCGGCCAGACUGUCCGAAACACACACACACAACUACCGUUCCACCCUCUCAUAUUUGUUGCUACCAUGGCUGGCCUGAAAUAUAGCAGAAAUAGUGACAGAACGUGAGAGGUUGCCAAUCAUCGAGCCGUCGAGGUCGUCCUUAUCUGUUCGAAGCUCAGUUGCCGGUUCGAGGUUCCAGGUUUUAGUUCUGGUCGAAAUUCUGUUUUCUAGGCUUGUUGUUCUUUCUCAUUGGAUCACAAAAUCAAUGGUUGUGUAUUCACUGAUUUCUUUCCACUGUUAUAUUGAAGAACUCUCUUAGCG
This 351-nucleotide long non-coding RNA is filed under the name Nicotiana benthamiana. Its description in RNAcentral is "long non-coding RNA (NBEN_LNC005668)". Lineage: Eukaryota; Viridiplantae; Streptophyta; Magnoliopsida; Solanales; Solanaceae. The record is from RNAcentral.